AUGGUAAUAAAAAUAAAUGAAAACACACAAUUAUCUAAAGAACCGGCUCUGUGGACAGAGUUUUGAGAACCAGAGAGAGACGCAUACGUGUCAAUCCCUGAUGAUUUUUAACAAAAAAAAACGCGUUCUGUUUCUCUCUUCAUCGUAAAGUUCUUUCUCGACUCUCUUUCUCUUUAUCAUCUCUUGCCGGAUGCGAUUCACCUGAGAUUUCCUUGAAUCCGUUUAUUGCUCUUCGCGAUGGCUCUUAUCCUGAUUCACCAACCGUCUCUUUAAUUCCCGAUAGCCAUGGCUCUUCUCCUCACACGAUUAUUCCGAUUUCGUCUGAGGGAGCUAAAUUGAUCGAUUUCGUGCUAAACGUUGUUAGAAAGGAAGCUGAGAAUUGCGACUGCUUACAAGGAAUCUUGGAAACUGGAUUCUUCGUUGGCUUGAUCGGAUGAAACCAGCAGCUCAUAUCCGUACUCAACCAUUCUGGUGAUGGUUUUGGCCGCCCCGAAGACAUUUCUGAUCAGCGGUGUGAUCAUGGUUCUUGGAUUAUGCUUGUACCCAUUCUUAACACUCGUUAAGGAGAACCUGAGUUGAAAUAUGUAAAAACCUGAGUAAAUUCAUUCAGUUUUGUUGAUCUCUGCCCAAACUUUCUAAUUCCAGUUCUUGAGUUUUACACA
Molecule: long non-coding RNA, 662 nt
Organism: Arabidopsis lyrata subsp. lyrata
Lineage: Eukaryota; Viridiplantae; Streptophyta; Magnoliopsida; Brassicales; Brassicaceae
Exons: 2
Source: RefSeq, a predicted model, not a curated record